Long non-coding RNA from Canis lupus familiaris (dog), 1449 nucleotides. RefSeq lists it as uncharacterized. The transcript has 3 exons. NCBI's taxonomy places the organism in Eukaryota, Metazoa, Chordata, Mammalia, Carnivora, Canidae. The record is from RefSeq and is a predicted model, not a curated record.
CAAAACCGUAUCUCCCCAGGACGCCUCGGCCAGCUGUGGCCAGCGAUGCGGGCAGAAGGGGAAGAAAGUCCAACAAGGAGCGAGCAGUGGGGAUGGAGAGGGCGAGUCCGCCUGUGAGUACGCAGGAUGUCAAACCAGGCAGGUGGUGGCUCUCUGCUGUGUUUCAGGCUACCUUGGGAAGGGAGGUGGAGGUGUGCGUACCUGGUGCUUGUCACCAAGAGACACGGUGAGCCAGAAGAGGAGCAGGUGUGAGAUCUGGGCGGGCCCAGUGUCACACAAACAGGUUUGAGAUGUCCAUGGGGCUUCCAGGAAAUGCCCAGCAAAAAUCGGCGUGUGACACAAAGCCUGAGCGUGGAGAGAGAGCUGCGGACCCUCGGGGCUCGGGGGGUGGUGACAAACACCAGGGAAUAGGAGAGUCUCUGGAAAAGCUCAGAGCAGAGACAGCCGUGGCUGGAACCAAACACCCCGUGAAUUACCGACCGUGCAGAGCAGAGCAAGACUAUGUUCUCUUCCUCCCCGUGGCUGACACAAGAUCCCGGGCUAAGCAAUCUUUCCCCAGAUCCCCGACAACGGAGGACACCCCGAGGGCUCUGCACUGCCAGCCUGCUCUCCUGCGAUCCACGGAUGUGAAGCCUAGGGGGCACUCAGUGGGCAAAAGAAGCAUUAAGAAAAUUAACCUAAUGUGUCUGGGGCUCCGCAGACACAUCACUCAGCUCCGGAGGCCGCAUCCGGGAAUGGGAAGAAGUUGGGUCUAGAAGCCAAACAUUAAUGGAUUUUAUUCCCUACCCAGCCGCGUGCUGUGUGGACAGGGCAGGCUGGUCGCCUCCCUUGCAGAGCACACGUGUCUGCUACGUGGAAGCGAGCGAGGUGGCCUCCGGGGCGUUGGGGGAAACCCGCGCACUCAAGACGGGGACGCACCUGCCGGGCGCACCGCGGGCAUGUGAUAAACAGUGGCUCCAGGGUCAUGUUUUGCAGACGAGGAUGGCGAGGAGCAAGGAGGGGAGGAACCCGCCAAGGACACGUUGCUGGCCGACAGCAGAGCCAGCUCUGUCUCCCCGCAAAGGGUAGGCCUUUUGCUCAGAGGCAUUUUAACUCAAGCCCUUCGCAGCCUCCCCACCACAGCUCGACACCGGUCUUGCCUCCAGGACUUGCGGGCAGAUGGAGGUCAUGAUCGUGCAUUGCACCUCUGGAUCCUCGGCGUCCCUCACGCAGCUCCUUGCUGCACAGCUGCCCAGAAAUGUUUGCUAGAUGACAGAAGAAUUAAUGAGAGCCUAGAAUGGGGGCCCUGGCUGGCUCCGCCUGUUAAGUGUCCAUUUGACUCUUACUUUCGGCUCAGGUCAUGAUCUCAGGGUUGGGAGAUCAAGCCCCGAGGAGGGGUCCAUGCUGAGCGUGGAGCCUGCUUGGGAUUCUCUGUCUCCCUCUGCCUCUGCCCCUUCCCCUGCUUGCGUG